Molecule: ribosomal RNA, 800 nt
Filed under: uncultured bacterium
Lineage: Bacteria
Description: bacterial SSU rRNA
Rfam family: Bacterial small subunit ribosomal RNA
Source: RNAcentral
CCUACGGGGGAAAAAUUUAUUGCUAUUAGAUGAGCCUAUAUUAGAUUAGCUAGUUGGUGGAGUAAUAGCCUACCAAGGCAAUGAUCUAUAGCUGAUCUGAGAGGAUGAUCAGCCACACUGGAACUGAGAUACGGUCCAGACUCCUACGGGAGGCAGCAGUGGGGAAUAUUGGACAAUGGGCGAAAGCCUGAUCCAGCCAUGCCGCAUGAGUGAAGAAGGCCUUUGGGCUGUAAAGCUCUUUUAGUGAGGAAGAUAAUGACGGUACUCACAGAAGAAGUCCUGGCUAACUCCGUGCCAGCAGCCGCGGUAAUACGGAGAGGGCUAGCGUUAUUCGGAAUUAUUGGGCGUAAAGGGCGCGUAGGCGGAUUAGUAAGUUAAAAGUGAAAUCCCAAGGCUCAACCUUGGAAUUGCUUUUAAAACUGCUAAUCUAGAGAUUGAAAGAGGAUAGAGGAAUUCCUAGUGUAGAGGUGAAAUUCGUAAAUAUUAGGAGGAACACCAGUGGCGAAGGCGUCUAUCUGGUUCAAAUCUGACGCUGAGGCGCGAAGGCGUGGGGAGCAAACAGGAUUAGAUACCCUGGUAGUCCACGCUGUAAACGAUGAAUGUUAAAUAUGGGAAGUUUUACUUUCUGUAUUACAGCUAACGCGUUAAACAUUCCGCCUGGGGACUACGGUCGCAAGAUUAAAACUCAAAGGAAUUGACGGGGACCCGCACAAGCGGUGGAGCAUGUGGUUUAAUUCGAUGCAACGCGAAAAACCUUACCACUCCUUGACAUGGAAAUUAUACCUAUUCGAAGGGAUAGG